ACUCUGCUGUGGCCAUGGCUCCUGUGAAAAAGCUUGUGGUGAAGGUGGGCAAAAAAAAGAAGCAGGUUCUGAAGUUCACUCUUGAUUGCACCCACCCUGUAGAAGAUGGAAUCAUGGAUGCUGCCAAUUUUGAGCAGUUUUUGCAAGAAAGGAUCAAAGUGAAUGGAAAAGCUGGGAACCUUGGUGGAGGGGUGGUGACCAUCAAAAGGAGCAAGAGCAAGAUCACCAUGACAUCUGAGGUGCCUUUCUCCAAAAGGUAUUUGAAAUAUCUCACCAAAAAAUAUUUGAAGAAGAAUAAUCUACGUGACUGGUUGCGCGUGGUUGCUAACAGCAAAGAGUUACGAAUGACGUUACUUCCAGAUUAA
Piliocolobus tephrosceles (Ugandan red Colobus) is the source of this 365-nucleotide RNA transcript. It is a transcript of the gene named 60S ribosomal protein L22 pseudogene, with no coding region annotated. Lineage: Eukaryota; Metazoa; Chordata; Mammalia; Primates; Cercopithecidae. The transcript has a single exon. The record is from RefSeq and is a predicted model, not a curated record.